UGGUGUAUUGUGUAAUGGUAGCACUACAGAUUUUGGUUCUGUCAGUAGAGGUUCGAAUCCUCUUACACCAA
This 71-nucleotide transfer RNA is filed under the name Clostridia bacterium. Its description in RNAcentral is "tRNA-Gln". It matches the Rfam family "tRNA". Rfam says of the family: Transfer RNA (tRNA) molecules are approximately 80 nucleotides in length. Their secondary structure includes four short double-helical elements and three loops (D, anti-codon, and T loops). Further hydrogen bonds mediate the characteristic L-shaped molecular structure. tRNAs have two regions of fundamental functional importance: the anti-codon, which is responsible for specific mRNA codon recognition, and the 3' end, to which the tRNAs corresponding amino acid is attached (by aminoacyl-tRNA synthetases). tRNAs cope with the degeneracy of the genetic code in two manners: having more than one tRNA (with a specific anti-codon) for a particular amino acid; and 'wobble' base-pairing, i.e. permitting non-standard base-pairing at the 3rd anti-codon position. The record is from RNAcentral. Lineage: Bacteria; Bacillati; Bacillota; Clostridia.